RNAcentral lists this transfer RNA (74 nucleotides) under Daphnia galeata. It matches the Rfam family "tRNA". From Rfam's summary of the family: Transfer RNA (tRNA) molecules are approximately 80 nucleotides in length. The record is from Rfam by way of RNAcentral. Lineage: Eukaryota; Metazoa; Arthropoda; Branchiopoda; Diplostraca; Daphniidae.
GACUCUGUGGUUCAAUUGGCUAGAGCGUUCGGCUGAUAACCGCAAGGAUGGUGGUUCAAGCCCAUCCAGGGUCG